GUGGGAGUAGCUCAGCUGGUUAGAGCGCCAGACUGUGGAUCUGGAGGUCGGGGGUUCAAGACCCCUCUCCCACC
Molecule: transfer RNA, 74 nt
Filed under: Planctomycetota bacterium
Lineage: Bacteria; Pseudomonadati; Planctomycetota
Also listed under: 1 other name
Description: Planctomycetes bacterium tRNA-His
Rfam family: tRNA
About the family: Transfer RNA (tRNA) molecules are approximately 80 nucleotides in length. Their secondary structure includes four short double-helical elements and three loops (D, anti-codon, and T loops).
Source: RNAcentral